GUUACAUGACAGGGAAAAAGGUCUGCUGUGCAAUUAAAUAAAAUAUAUAAACUUACCAGUAACUUCUACACUUGGAUGACCGACGGAAGCAAUAUAUGGACAAACCAGAGGGGAGCUUUACCACGACAGAGUUAACUGAAACAAUAAAGAUUGUAAGCAUGUCAGCUUGAAACCUGAUCUGGCUUUUGACCAAAAAAAGGCCGUCUUUUUCUCAGAAUAUCUGCUUCUCUGGCAAUUUGGAUAUUUGAAGGCCAGAAGAUUUGUUGCAAAACUUCGAAAACAAAACGAGGGAGCAAUCCUACAACUAUUAUUGACAAAAUGGAGAGCCAAUAAGCUGGUGACUUCACCAGAUGGUAUAUUGUACAGCAAUGAAAAUAAUAAUAAACUCAUAAGCCUUAAAAAAGCAAUAAUGAUGUAAUAAGUAAACAUUAAUGUCACUGAAUUUUCUUGAAAACUUAAUAUUUAAGCUAACCCGUAAUUAGAAAACACGGGUAUAGAAUCAAGCUCCAUCAUGCAACCAUAUGUGAUAAUUAUUGCUCCCCAUUAUGAGUUGUGAGUAAUAACAACCCAGCGCUGAAUGUCCAUUGCCAAAUGCAUAUUGACUAAGAUAACAACUGCAAUUGUCCACAAACUGCCCAUACUCCAUAUGUCAAUCGUGCUAUCCCUAUAGGUAAACAAGGGUAUGUAGAAGGGAACAAGGCUAUGCCAAAGCAUGUCAAGCAUAGUGAUCCAAAAGAGGGGCAUAUUAUAGCUCUCUUGUCGAUGCCCUGCAGCAUUGAGUUUCGGAUACUUCAAUAAUGUCUUGUGACUUAAGUCCUUGUCCAAAAUACCGACAACUAUAGUAGGUAGCGACGUAUAUAAAACAGAAUAAAAAACACUGCUCCAGUCUGUCAAUGCAGAUGUCGU
This 906-nucleotide long non-coding RNA is filed under the name Olea europaea subsp. europaea. Lineage: Eukaryota; Viridiplantae; Streptophyta; Magnoliopsida; Lamiales; Oleaceae. The record is from RNAcentral.